CCUACGGGAGGCAGCAGUGGGGGAUAUUGCACAAUGGCGGGAACCCUGGUGCAGCGACGCCGCGUGGGUGAAGAAGCGCCUCGGCGCGUAAAGCUCUGUCAGCAGGGAAGAAAAUGACGGUACCUGAAGAAGAAGCCCCGGCUAACUACGUGCCAGCAGCCGCGGUAAUACGUAGGGGGCAAGCGUUAUCCGGAUUUACUGGGUGUAACGGGGGCGCAGACGGCGAUGCAAGCCAGGGGUGAAAGCCCGGGGCCCAAGCCCGGGACUGCUCUUGGAACGGCGUGGCUGGAGUGCAGGAGGGGCAGGCGGAAUGCCUGGUGUAGCGGUGAAAUGCGUAGAUAUCAGGAGGAACACCGGUGGCGAAGGCGGCCUGCUGGACUGCAACUGACGUUGAGGCCCGAAAGCGUGGGGAGCAAACAGGAUUAGAUACCCUAGUAGUC
RNAcentral lists this ribosomal RNA (440 nucleotides) under uncultured bacterium. Its description in RNAcentral is "partial 16S ribosomal RNA". It matches the Rfam family "Bacterial small subunit ribosomal RNA", at positions 338 to 795 of the family's 1533-position model. The record is from RNAcentral.